This is a long non-coding RNA of Rana temporaria (common frog), 456 nucleotides long. RefSeq lists it as uncharacterized. The record is from RefSeq and is a predicted model, not a curated record. Lineage: Eukaryota; Metazoa; Chordata; Amphibia; Anura; Ranidae. The transcript has 3 exons.
AUUCCCUGACAUAUAAUAAAUGGUGAAUUGAUAUCAUAUUACAACAUCCACCAACUAUUUAUAUUUCAUCCCGGUUACAAUUUUUUUUUAAAUCCGCUCAGGCAUAUCCUUAGACAGCUACACACUUAAAGGAGCCGCUUCUUAAAAAUUAGGGACCGUCUGCCAAGCGACAGUCGGGAUGAGGUAGCAGGCCGCAAGGAAUGUGUAGCAAGUCACCGGGGGCGGCUCGCAGCAGAAAACCUGAUCAAGCCAGCAAGUCUGUUUGUUUGUUUUUCAAAAGUACAAGCUCUCCAGCAGAAUGUAUCUGUAUACAUGGAGACAAACUAUCUACCGUUGGCAGGGUGGCCUCAAUUGCUCUCUAUUAAGGCCCGUGAUGUCCCCUGAAGCUUGGCACAGCAGAGAUUUGAUCAACCUUUAUUUCAGAAGGUACUUUUUUUUUAUAUUUUUUUUUUUUAU